UACGAAGGGUGCAAGCGUUACUCGGAAUUACUGGGCGUAAAGCGUGCGUAGGUGGUGAGUUAAGUCUGUCGUGAAAGCCCCGGGCUCAACCUGGGAAUGGCGAUGGAUACUGGCUCGCUAGAGUGCGGUAGAGGAGAGUGGAAUUCCCGGUGUAGCAGUGAAAUGCGUAGAGAUCGGGAGGAACACCAGUGGCGAAAGCGGCUACCUGGCCUAAUACUGACACUGAGGCACGAAGGCUAGGGGAGCGAACGGG
RNAcentral lists this ribosomal RNA (253 nucleotides) under uncultured bacterium. RNAcentral describes it as "partial 16S ribosomal RNA". It matches the Rfam family "Bacterial small subunit ribosomal RNA", at positions 524 to 776 of the family's 1533-position model. The record is from RNAcentral.